This 482-nucleotide ribosomal RNA is filed under the name uncultured bacterium. RNAcentral describes it as "partial 16S ribosomal RNA". It matches the Rfam family "Bacterial small subunit ribosomal RNA", at positions 28 to 507 of the family's 1533-position model. The record is from RNAcentral.
GACGAACGCUGGCGGCGUGCUUAACACAUGCAAGUCGAACGCUGAAGCUCAGCUUUUGUUGGGUGGAUGAGUGGCGAACGGGUGAGUAACACGUGAGUAACCUGCCUCCUUCUUUGGGAUAACGCCCGGAAACGGGUGCUAAUACUGGAUAUUCACUGGUCUUCGCAUGGGGGUUGGUGGAAAGGGUUUUUCUGGUGGGGGAUGGGCUCGCGGCCUAUCAGCUUGUUGGUGGGGUGAUGGCCUACCAAGGCUUUGACGGGUAGCCGGCCUGAGAGGGUGACGGGUACAUUAGGACUGAGAUACGGCCCAGACUACUACGGGAGGCAGCAGUGGGGAAUAUUGCACAAAGGGCGCAAGACUGAUGCAGCGACGCCGCGUGAGGGAUGGAGGCCUUCGGGUUGUGAACCUCUUUCGCUAAUGGUCAAGCCGCAACAAUGGUUGUGGUGAGGGUAGUGGGUAAAGAAGCGCCGGCUAACUACGUG